UAGCAUAUCAAUAAGCGGAGGAAAAGAAACCAACCGGGAUUGCCUCAGUAACGGCGAGUGAAGCGGCAAGAGCUCAAAUUUGAAAGCUGGCUCCUUCGGGGUCCGCAUUGUAAUUUGCAGAGGAUGCUUCGGGUGCGGCCCCUGUCUAAGUGCCCUGGAACGGGCCGUCAGAGAGGGUGAGAAUCCCGUCUGGGAUGGGGUGUCCGCGCCCGUGUGAAGCUCCUUCGACGAGUCGAGUUGUUUGGGAAUGCAGCUCUAAAUGGGUGGUAAAUUUCAUCUAAAGCUAAAUACUGGCCGGAGACCGAUAGCGCACAAGUAGAGUGAUCGAAAGAUGAAAAGCACUUUGAAAAGAGAGUUAAAAAGCACGUGAAAUUGUUGAAAGGGAAGCGCUUGCGACCAGACUCGCCUCCAGGGUUCAGCCGGCAUUCGUGCCGGUGUACUUCCCUGGGGGCGGGCCAGCGUCGGUUUGGGCGGCCGGUCAAAGGCUCCCGGAAUGUAGUGCCCUUCGGGGCACCUUAUAGCCGGGAGUGCAAUGCGGCCAGCCUGGACCGAGGAACGCGCUUCGGCACGGACGCUGGCAUAAUGGUCGCAAACGACCCGUCUUGAAACACGGACCAAGGAGUCUAACAUCUACGCGAGUGUUCGGGUGUCAAACCCGUACGCGCAGUGAAAGCGAACGGAGGUGGGAGCCCCCUCGCGGGGCGCACCAUCGACCGAUCCUGAUGUCUUCGGAUGGAUUUGAGUAAGAGCGUAAAUGUGGGGACCCGAAAGAUGGUGAACUAUGCCUGAAUAGGGCGAAGCCAGAGGAAACUCUGGUGGAGGCUCGCAGCGGUUCUGACGUGCAAAUCGAUCGUCAAAUUUGGGUAUAGGGGCGAAAGACUAAUCGAACCAUCUAGUAGCUGGUUCCUGC
RNAcentral lists this ribosomal RNA (910 nucleotides) under Aspergillus tamarii. Its description in RNAcentral is "LSU rRNA". It matches the Rfam family "Eukaryotic large subunit ribosomal RNA", at positions 36 to 961 of the family's 3401-position model. Lineage: Eukaryota; Fungi; Ascomycota; Eurotiomycetes; Eurotiales; Aspergillaceae. The record is from RNAcentral.